GACGAACGCUGGCGGCGUGCUUAACACAUGCAAGUCGAACGGAAAGGCCCUGCUUUUGUGGGGUGCCCGAGUGGCGAACGGGUGAGUAACACGUGAGUAACCUGCCCUUGACUUUGGGAUAACUUCAGGAAACUGGGGCUAAUACCGGAUAGGAGCUCCUGCUGCAUGGUGGGGGUUGGAAAGUUUCGGCGGUUGGGGAUGGACUCGCGGCUUAUCAGCUUGUUGGUGGGGUAGUGGCUUACCAAGGCAUUGACGGGUAGCCGGCCUGUGAGGGUGACCGGCCACAUUGGGACUGAGAUACGGCCCAGACUCCUACGGGAGGCAGCAGUGGGGAAUAUUGCACAAUGGGCGGAAGCCUGAUGCAGCAACGCCGCGUGCGGGAUGACGUCCUUCGGGUUGUAAACCGCUUUCGCCUGUGACGAAGCGUGAGUGACGGUAAUGGAUAAAGAAGCACCGGCUAACUACGUG
RNAcentral lists this ribosomal RNA (468 nucleotides) under uncultured bacterium. RNAcentral's name for it is "partial 16S ribosomal RNA". It matches the Rfam family "Bacterial small subunit ribosomal RNA", at positions 28 to 507 of the family's 1533-position model. The record is from RNAcentral.